This 817-nucleotide long non-coding RNA is filed under the name Helianthus annuus (common sunflower). The record is from RNAcentral. Lineage: Eukaryota; Viridiplantae; Streptophyta; Magnoliopsida; Asterales; Asteraceae.
ACAAUUUUAUUACAUUUAGAAAAUUGAUUGAUGCUAAUGGCUUAAUUAGAAGAGGUAGGAUCAGUAAACUUUCUAAAAUCCAUUUCAACUUCAGUCAAGGAGGAUACAUAAUCAUCAAAGUUAGUAGGCUUUUAAACCUAGAUGGCCUCCUUAGUUGAUUAUUAGGUUUAUUAAGAGUUUCAGUUUUCUGGAUUAACUCUUGCCUAAGUUGCUAUCACUUUCAUAAUUCUAAGUGUGCGCAAGAGGUGUAAUCGGAGUAAAAUUUAAUAGGUCUCUUCCCCCCGCCUCUUGCACUUCUAGCAAAUCCUGAUAAGGACUUUUACUGCUCCCACUGACUUAGAAAUCUUUAACAAUUUAGCAUGCUUAUGGUCAACAUUAGAAGACUAAUAAAUUCUAAUAGAGAAACAAAUUAAAGAAGUUACUCAUUGUAGUUUCUCUGUUUGAAGAUUACAAUUUUUGGCAAGAAAUCUGAGUGUGCCCACGUUUAAGCAGCAAUGAAACUUUUGUUAGAGUAGCAGUAUAUUCUUAAAGAGAAAAGUUGUGAAGGAGCAAUGUCUUGUACAAGAGGUGCAAAUUGAGGUAAUAACAAGUUUUCACUCCCCCACCUCUUGCAACUCUCGCAAAUUAAGAUUAAGACACUUAAUACUCCCACUAACCUUUUAGAUCUGUAUGAAUGCUACAAGAUAAGUUUCAAUGAUGUAUGUGCUGUGGGAACAUGUCAUAUAUGUUAGACUUGAUUUCCUUAAUGUCCAUAUGUUAUAAAAAUUUUGGGGACAUAUUUAGAAGGAAUCAUAAUAUAUAUGAAUUAAUUUCUUUA